AUAUUGCGCAAUGGAGGAAACUCUGACGCAGCAACGCCGCGUGAAGGAUGAAGGCUUNNNGGUUGNACACUUCUUUGAUCGGGNACGNAAAUGACGGUACCCGAGGAACAAGCAACGGCUGACUACGUGCCAGCCGCCGCGGUAAUACGUAGGUGGCAAGCGUUGUCCGGAAUUACUGGGUGUAAAGGGCGUGUAGGCGGGGGGACAAGUCAGAUGUGAAAUCCCAGGGCUUAACUCUGGAGCUGCAUCUGAAACUGUUCCUCUUGAGUAUCGGAGAGGAAAGUGGAAUUCCAAGUGUAGCGGUGAAAUGCGUAGAGAUUUGGAGGAACACCGAUGGCGAAGGCAGCCCCCUGGGAUAAUACUGACGCUCAGACACGAAAGCGUGGGGAGCAAACAGG
RNAcentral lists this ribosomal RNA (398 nucleotides) under uncultured bacterium. RNAcentral describes it as "partial 16S ribosomal RNA". It matches the Rfam family "Bacterial small subunit ribosomal RNA", at positions 361 to 776 of the family's 1533-position model. The record is from RNAcentral.